Long non-coding RNA from Apodemus sylvaticus (European woodmouse), 533 nucleotides. RefSeq lists it as uncharacterized. The transcript is spliced from 4 exons. The record is from RefSeq and is a predicted model, not a curated record. NCBI's taxonomy places the organism in Eukaryota, Metazoa, Chordata, Mammalia, Rodentia, Muridae.
CCAAGAAGUGGAGAUCCUGGGAGCAAAAGAUGUCUCCAGAGGGAAGAUGCAGGUGCUGAGUGAAGCCAGCCUGAGUCACGAACUCAGCAGAACAAUGCUGGAAGUUUCAUCAAUGACUCCAUUUUUACAAGUGCCAUAGUCACUUACAGGCACUGUGACAAACAAGUCAUGAAGAGGAUGAAUACAGCCUGAGCUGACAGGAUACUUUGAUUGCUACCUUCCUGGGGGACUUUCUAGGCCAGGGGAGCACUGGACUGAAGCAUCAUUCUGCACCAUAUUCCCUUGAUAGUGGGUCUCUCACUGAACCUCGGGCUAAGCUGGCAGCCGGCAGACCCCAUCAGUUUUCCUGUUUCAGGCCAGCAAGCACAGGGGUCACAGGUGUUUGUCAGAUGUAAACUCUCAGCUACUGCUCCAACGCUAUGCCUGCCUGCCUGCCUGCCUGCCUGCCUGCAGCCAUGCUCCUCGCCAUGAUGGUCACUGAUUUAUCCUCUGAAACUGUAAGCAAGCUCGGAAAUAAAAUCUUCUACAAGUUG